This 330-nucleotide ribosomal RNA is filed under the name Clostridioides difficile. Its description in RNAcentral is "bacterial SSU rRNA". It matches the Rfam family "Bacterial small subunit ribosomal RNA", at positions 197 to 547 of the family's 1533-position model. The record is from RNAcentral. Lineage: Bacteria; Bacillati; Bacillota; Clostridia; Peptostreptococcales; Peptostreptococcaceae.
AAUAUCAAAGGUGAGCCAGUACAGGAUGGACCCGCGUCUGAUUAGCUAGUUGGUAAGGUAACGGCUUACCAAGGCGACGAUCAGUAGCCGACCUGAGAGGGUGAUCGGCCACAUUGGAACUGAGACACGGUCCAAACUCCUACGGGAGGCAGCAGUGGGGAAUAUUGCACAAUGGGCGAAAGCCUGAUGCAGCAACGCCGCGGGAGUGAUGAAGGCCUUCGGGUCGGAAAACUCUGUCCUCAAGGAAGAUAAUGACGGUACUUGAGGAGGAAGCCCCGGCUAACUACGUGCCAGCAGCCGCGGUAAUACGUAGGGGGCUAGCGGUAUCCG